Molecule: long non-coding RNA, 554 nt
Organism: Amborella trichopoda
Lineage: Eukaryota; Viridiplantae; Streptophyta; Magnoliopsida; Amborellales; Amborellaceae
Source: RefSeq, a predicted model, not a curated record
UUCCCUCUCUCUUUCUCUCUCUCUCUCAGCUGGUCGAACCUCUCUCUCUACCUUCUGUUUCCCCUCUCUCUCUCUCUCUCUCUCAGCGAGAUCUCUCUGAGGGCUCCCAUCAGCGUAGAGCAACUUCGAGCAGCCCAUUGAGUUUCGAUUUGCCCUCAUUUUUCAAGGCGAUAACAAUGUCAUCUCAUUCUACAAGUACUCAAGGAUAUACACCUCGACAAUUCCCUACGUGCAGUAUAGAUACCCUCGACAAUGCCCUACGUGCACGUAUAGAUUGUGCUGUGAAAGCAUCGGCAAAGCUCAAAUAACCCGAACAGGAUGUACUAUAAGUGUAUACUAUGCGGGUGUGAUGAAUGUGAUGCUGUCAUGCAAAAUGUUAAUUUAAGGCAUCGCAAAAAACAACAUUGGAAUCCAAUGAAUUUUGUCCCUAACUUAUCUAGAAUGUGCAUUAUAUAUAUUUGCUGCAGAAUUCAGCACAUACUACGUUGUAUUGACUCUGCAAAUAUUAUUGUUUCGUAUUGGUACGUGAAACUAGACUUUUGACAUGAUGAUAA